This 497-nucleotide ribosomal RNA is filed under the name uncultured bacterium. Its description in RNAcentral is "partial 16S ribosomal RNA". It matches the Rfam family "Bacterial small subunit ribosomal RNA", at positions 28 to 507 of the family's 1533-position model. The record is from RNAcentral.
GAUGAACGCUGGCGGCGUGCCUAAUACAUGCAAGUCGAGCGAACAGAUGAGUAGCUUGCUCCUCUGACGUUAGCGGCGGACGGGUGAGUAACACGUGGAUAACCUACCUAUAAGACUGGGAUAACUUCGGGAAACCGGAGCUAAUACCGGAUAAUAUAUUGAACCGCAUGGUUCAAUAGUGAAAGACGGUUUUGCUGUCACUUAUAGAUGGAUCCGCGCCGCAUUAGCUAGUUGGUAAGGUAACGGCUUACCAAGGCAACGAUGCGUAGCCGACCUGAGAGGGUGAUCGGCCACACUGGAACUGAGACACGGUCCAGACUCCUACGGGAGGCAGCAGUAGGGAAUCUUCCGCAAUGGGCGAAAGCCUGACGGAGCAACGCCGCGUGAGUGAUGAAGGUCUUCGGAUCGUAAAACUCUGUUAUUAGGGAAGAACAAAUGUGUAAGUAACUAUGCACGUCUUGACGGUACCUAAUCAGAAAGCCACGGCUAACUACGUG